This 440-nucleotide ribosomal RNA is filed under the name uncultured bacterium. RNAcentral's name for it is "partial 16S ribosomal RNA". It matches the Rfam family "Bacterial small subunit ribosomal RNA", at positions 338 to 795 of the family's 1533-position model. The record is from RNAcentral.
CCUACGGGAGGCUGCAGUGGGGAAUAUUGCACAAUGGGGGAAACCCUGAUGCAGCGACGCCGCGUGAGUGAAGAAGUAUUUCGGUAUGUAAAGCUCUAUCAGCAGGGGAGAAAAUGACGGUACCUGAUCAAGAAGCCCCGGCUAACUACGUGCCAGCAGCCGCGGUAAGACGUAGGGGGCAAGCGUUAUCCGGAUUUACUGGGUGUAAAGGGAGCGUAGACGGCAGCACAAGUCUGGAGUGAAAUGCCGGGGCUUAACCCCGGAACUGCUUUGGAAACUGUGCAGCUAGAGUGCAGGAGAGGUAAGUGGAAUUCCUAGUGUAGCGGUGAAAUGCGUAGAUAUUAGGAGGAACACCAGUGGCGAAGGCGGCUUACUGGACUGUAACUGACGUUGAGGCUCGAAAGCGUGGGGAGCAAACAGGAUUAGAUACCCUGGUAGUC